Molecule: long non-coding RNA, 382 nt
Filed under: Jatropha curcas
Lineage: Eukaryota; Viridiplantae; Streptophyta; Magnoliopsida; Malpighiales; Euphorbiaceae
Description: long non-coding RNA (JCUR_LNC003560)
Source: RNAcentral
GGACUUGCUUCAACACCUUGAAUAUAUAUAUCUUGUACGUCUCUAUGCUCUUCUUUGCCUUCUUCUUUUUGAUCUUCUUCGCCUUCUUCUUCUUCUUCUUCUUAUCACUUGUGUGGCUUUCUUUUGGCAGUUUCUUCUCUGCUAUUGGCUUCUCCGCCGUCGCUUUCUCUGCCGAUUUCUUUUCCGUUGGCAUCUUCCUCUCCAAUCCUCUUUUCCAAUUUUUCUUAUUUUAGAAUCCUAUUUUUUCAUUACAAGGCUCUAACUAAAUUAACAUUUUAAAGAUUUUUACCAAUUACCUUUUUACAUGUCAAAAUCGAUGUGGCAUGCCAAUUAUAGUCCUGCACAUCUCUUUUUUAAAUAUUUAGUGGGUCCCGCAUAUCCU